Long non-coding RNA from Zea mays, 1961 nucleotides. RefSeq lists it as uncharacterized. The transcript has 2 exons. NCBI's taxonomy places the organism in Eukaryota, Viridiplantae, Streptophyta, Magnoliopsida, Poales, Poaceae. The record is from RefSeq and is a predicted model, not a curated record.
ACGGCCACAGCUUCAUCCCUAUCUUCCUCGCGCUGUAUUCUUCCCCGCGGCAGCUCCCUCCUCCCGUUUCCUGCUCGCUCCAUGGUUUUCCCCGAGCCCCAUCGCCCAUGGCCGUCACGCCUGCUGAUUGUUCCCCCUGCUUCUCCUUUCUUCCCUUUUCCUCGACUCCUCGUCGAGCUCCCCUGAAUCGCGGCAGCAGCACCGGGGCAGCAAGGUGAGGAUUUUCCUUCUCCGAAUCUACCCGGCUCGGCACGAUGGGCUCGUUGGUGUCCUGCCUCUCCGACCCAAUCCCGUCGAGGAAUAGGUCACCGCCCUCAUAGGCCAGGCGGCGUUCCACCACCUCUUCCCGUGGCCGUGGCAGCGGCGGGAGGGACUCCGUUAUGGCCUCCGUGUUCAUGGAUAGGGAGACGCUUACCACAGCUCGCGUCGUUGUCCUGCCUGCCGAGCUCGGCCUCCAGCUGGCUCCCUCCCCAUCUCCCUGCCAUGGUCAUGCCUAGGCUCUGCUUAACCUCGAUUCCACCUGAGCCCAACGCCGCUGUUCUAGCCAUCCCUGAGUCGAGCUUCAUCUCUCAGCCACCAUCCCUGUGCUAGCGCAUCCCAGCUCCCUCUGCUCACUCUCCCGACCAUGGAGCUCGCCAAGACCUUCUCUGCCUGCUUCACUCCAGGAGCUCACCGCGCCUAGCCAUUUCUUUCUUCUCCCUCGGCUCCCUCCUUGCUUCUCUCUCGCCCUCGGAUUGGUCUACGCGCAGCCGUGGUUCUGCUGCUCGACCAUGGCGUGGACAGCGGAUGAGCCCCUGCUUUUCUUUCCCUCUUUCUCCUCCCUAGCUCCUGUUUGGUUUUCGCCUAACCGCUGCGUAGCUCCUUCGCCUUGGUCGGCUUGUCAUUGACCUCGCCGUCGCCCAGCUCGCCCAAGUCACUCAUGGCUGUGCACGGUGUUCUCGUCGACGUUGUGCUCGUCGGGAUUAGCCUCUGCGCGUCCCUGCUCCCCUACGCGCGUACGCUUUUGCCGAGCUCGGCCCUGUCCAUUUCGCCGUGCUCGGUCUCUAGCUCCCUUUGCGCGCCGUUGCGAGCUCGUCAGCCACCGUUGCCUUGUCACAGAACCUCCAACGCCGUCAUCCGUGGUCGCGACCUCGCCAAAUGCGUCCGUCGCUUGGCCCUGUGUUGUUUGGCUCGUCGACUUUGUUCGCUACCGCGUGCGCUUGUUCCUAAUGCGCAUCUUGCAGUAGUUGGAUCUCGCGCGCGUGAUUUUGAAGCUUUGCGCGUUCGUCGUGCCGUGUCGUGUGCCGAUAUUCUCUCUCGGCAGACCUCGCCGUCGACCAUGUUCAAGUGAUUGCUCGGCUCCUCACAUCCCGCCUAUUCGAUAAAACACCCAAAUCCAUAGACUGCCGAUGCCCUGCUACCAUACGUGGUUGUCUCCGUCACUUGCGUUAGCUCGCUAAACCUGCAGCUCUAUAUACGUCACCCUCCCGUAUCUUCGUUGAGUCGUCGAACCCGUCAUCCCCUGCUCAACCCCCACAUCACCAGCUCGCUCUAGACACGAUCUCGUCGUCGCUUCGUGCAUCCUCAAGAAAUACAAAGCGUCUGGUGAAGACGAAGCUAGCAGCGUGGUGUUCACCAAGUGCACGACAAAAAGCUCAAACAUCCUGCACGACUCAAGUUCGAUUCAUCAAAAUUAUUUAGUCGAGGAGAGGAUCUUCAGCAAUUGAUUACCGAAGAAAAGAAGGCCCCUGAAUGGCGUCAACCGGAAACCGUCGUCGUGCUUGUGACUAUCGCGUCGAAUUAGUAAGGGUACGUUAAUUAAUCGCGUGGUGCGGAAGACGAGUCAAGUCGACCCCAAGCAUGGGCUAAUCCGCAGGAUGAUGCUGAUGAAUGAACCAGAAGAUGGAUAAUCUGAACGAGUGCCAAUACAAAGGAUACUCGCCAAGUCGUCACCUAACAAACACUAACCUAGUGUUAUUCAG